AUAUUCAUAUAUGAAUGACAAGAAGAUUAUACUUAUGCAAUCAAUUGGUCUGCAAAUCAACAUCUCCCGUAUUAUUGGGCUGAAUUGUUACUAUUGUCAUUUAUGUCCGUUUAAAAACGUUUCAUCAUAUUAGCGAGUGAGUGCCCUUACCGAUCAUUGGUACAUUUAUAUAAAUGAGCUUCAAGCAAACUUCAGGUUGUCACUCGAAUUCUUCCUUGCAAAUGGAGUCAAUAAAUUUUGAUGACUUUACAAGUCAUCUCAAAUAACCACAAAUCAACGGCAAACCAAUAUAUAAUAAUAAAAAAAACUCUAAUAAUAAAUCAAUGUAAGGAUAAUUUAAUACUCAAUUGUCUUAAUAGUUCCUCAAAAUAAUAAUUUCAAUAACAGUUUGCAAGUGAGCAUUCAAAUAACAACAAGACAAU
Molecule: long non-coding RNA, 422 nt
Filed under: Trifolium pratense (red clover)
Lineage: Eukaryota; Viridiplantae; Streptophyta; Magnoliopsida; Fabales; Fabaceae
Description: long non-coding RNA (TPRA_LNC011698)
Source: RNAcentral